This 427-nucleotide ribosomal RNA is filed under the name uncultured bacterium. RNAcentral's name for it is "partial 16S ribosomal RNA". It matches the Rfam family "Bacterial small subunit ribosomal RNA", at positions 355 to 774 of the family's 1533-position model. The record is from RNAcentral.
UGGGGAAUAUUGCACAAUGGGCGCAAGCCUGAUGCAGCCAUGCCGCGUGUAUGAAGAAGGCCUUCGGGUUGUAAAGUACUUUCAGCGGGGAGGAAGGCGAUAAGGUUAAUAACCUUGUCGAUUGACGUUACCCGCAGAAGAAGCACCGGCUAACUCCGUGCCAGCAGCCGCGGUAAUACGGAGGGUGCAAGCGUUAAUCGGAAUUACUGGGCGUAAAGCGCACGCAGGCGGUAUGUCAAGUCGGAUGUGAAAUCCCCGGGCUCAACCUGGGAACUGCAUUCGGAACUGGCAGGCUAGAGUCUUGUAGAGGGGGGUAGAAUUCCAGGUGUAGCGGUGAAAUGCGUAGAGAUCUGGAGGAAUACCGGUGGCGAAGGCGGCCCCCUGGACAAAGACUGACGCUCAGGUGCGAAAGCGUGGGGAGCAAACA